UACGUAGGGGGCAAGCGUUGUCCGGAAUCAUUGGGCGUAAAGCGCGUGUAGGCGGCCUAGUAAGUCCGUUCUGAAAGCCCGGGGCUCAACCCCGGGAGGCGGAUGGAUACUGCUGGGCUCGAGUCCGGAAGAGGCAAGUGGAAUUCCCGGUGUAGCGGUGAAAUGCGCAGAUAUCGGGAGGAACACCAAUGGCGAAGGCAGCUUGCUGGGACGGUACUGACGCUGAGACGCGAAAGCGUGGGGAGCAAACAGG
This 253-nucleotide ribosomal RNA is filed under the name uncultured bacterium. Its description in RNAcentral is "partial 16S ribosomal RNA". It matches the Rfam family "Bacterial small subunit ribosomal RNA", at positions 524 to 776 of the family's 1533-position model. The record is from RNAcentral.